Molecule: unclassified non-coding RNA, 293 nt
Filed under: Hevea brasiliensis (rubber tree)
Lineage: Eukaryota; Viridiplantae; Streptophyta; Magnoliopsida; Malpighiales; Euphorbiaceae
Source: RNAcentral
AGAGAGAUUGAGAACUACCGUGGGAGGCCUAAUGUUAGCUAAGAUUACCACGACGGUCCCAUUUCUCGAGCUUUUUCACACGAUUAGAACUACUAGAUCCGGCAUCGGAGGAGGCGAGGGAGGUGAGGUCCGCCGCAGAUCGGAGAUCGCCGAGCAGCGAAGGCAUGGUGGGGGGACGGGAGCGGAACCCUAGCCGCCAACGCGACCGUGGAUUAACAGAUCGGCGGCGGGGGAGCGAUCGGACAUCAGAGGGCGGCGGCGACGACGGAUUUGGAGGCGAGGGUUGGGGAUUU